Molecule: non-coding RNA, 99 nt
Organism: Acanthosepion pharaonis
Lineage: Eukaryota; Metazoa; Mollusca; Cephalopoda; Sepiida; Sepiidae
Source: the annotation of a GenBank genome assembly
AUUGAACCAGCGGUUUCCGUACGAUCACCGAAGUUAAGCAACGUCGAGCCUGGUCAGUACCGAGAUGGGUGACUGCUUCGGAAUACCAGGUGCUGUAAG